GAUGAACGCUGGCGGCGUGCCUAAUACAUGCAAGUCGAGCGAACAGACGAGGAGCUUGCUCCUCUGACGUUAGCGGCGGACGGGUGAGUAACACGUGGAUAACCUACCUAUAAGACUGGGAUAACUUCGGGAAACCGGAGCUAAUACCGGAUAAUAUAUUGAACCGCAUGGUUCAAUAGUGAAAGACGGUUUUGCUGUCACUUAUAGAUGGAUCCGCGCCGCAUUAGCUAGUUGGUAAGGUAACGGCUUAUCAAGGCAACGAUGCGUAGCCGACCUGAGAGGCUGAUCGGCCACACUGGAACUGGGACACGGUCCAGACUCCUACGGGAGGCAGCAGUAGGGAAUCUUCCGCAAUGGGCGAAAGCCUGACGGAGCAACGCCGCGUGAGUGAUGAAGGUCUUCGGAUCGUAAAACUCUGUUAUUAGGGAAGAACAAAUGUGUAAGUAACUAUGCACGUCUUGACGGUACCUAAUCAGAAAGCCACGGCUAACUACGUG
RNAcentral lists this ribosomal RNA (497 nucleotides) under uncultured bacterium. RNAcentral describes it as "partial 16S ribosomal RNA". It matches the Rfam family "Bacterial small subunit ribosomal RNA", at positions 28 to 507 of the family's 1533-position model. The record is from RNAcentral.